GACGAACGCUGGCGGCGUGCCUAAUACAUGCAAGUAGAACGCUGAAGAGAGGAGCUUGCUCUUCUUGGAUGAGUUGCGAACGGGUGAGUAACGCGUAGGUAACCUGCCUUGUAGCGGGGGAUAACUAUUGGAAACGAUAGCUAAUACCGCAUAACAAUGGAUGACACAUGUCAUUUAUUUGAAAGGGGCAAUUGCUCCACUACAAGAUGGACCUGCGUUGUAUUAGCUAGUAGGUGAGGUAACGGCUCACCUAGGCGACGAUACAUAGCCGACCUGAGAGGGUGAUCGGCCACACUGGGACUGAGACACGGCCCAGACUCCUACGGGAGGCAGCAGUAGGGAAUCUUCGGCAAUGGGGGCAACCCUGACCGAGCAACGCCGCGUGAGUGAAGAAGGUUUUCGGAUCGUAAAGCUCUGUUGUAAGUCAAGAACGAGUGUGAGAGUGGAAAGUUUACACUGUGACGGCAGCUUACCAGAAAGGGACGGCUAACUACGUG
This 497-nucleotide ribosomal RNA is filed under the name uncultured bacterium. Its description in RNAcentral is "partial 16S ribosomal RNA". It matches the Rfam family "Bacterial small subunit ribosomal RNA", at positions 28 to 507 of the family's 1533-position model. The record is from RNAcentral.